AUUAUUGCAACCUAAUUACUUAUGUAGUAGUGAUAAAACGCUCUUAGAGCUAUGGACAUAAACGCGCUCACAAUAAACGGAUCGGACCGGGGGGCGGUACCCCGCGACUCCACCAUAUCUCGGUCAUUUGCCANGCUUGGGGUCGAAAUAGGAUCGACGGACGUCUAAAAGNGUUAGCUUUGUUUCGGCGAGACACCACCGUAUCGGUUCAAAAUGUACAAUUGCAAAUGACAAUCGUGCUCCAAUGGCGAUGGCCGCGUAAGCGACUGGAACUAUUGAAAACUUAAGCCCUGUUGCCUAGCAGCGGCAGGCGGGGUUCGUAGGCACCUGGCAACAGAAGCCUACACU
Molecule: transfer-messenger RNA, 348 nt
Filed under: Aestuariivita sp.
Lineage: Bacteria; Pseudomonadati; Pseudomonadota; Alphaproteobacteria; Rhodobacterales; Paracoccaceae
Rfam family: Alphaproteobacteria transfer-messenger RNA
About the family: Bacterial tmRNA, also known as 10Sa RNA or SsrA, is named for its dual tRNA and mRNA-like properties.
Source: RNAcentral